Molecule: ribosomal RNA, 144 nt
Filed under: Chlorogonium elongatum
Lineage: Eukaryota; Viridiplantae; Chlorophyta; Chlorophyceae; Chlamydomonadales; Haematococcaceae
Description: partial ribosomal gene fragement L1
Source: RNAcentral
UGUGAAAGAUAGUGAAUAAUGCUGUUUAUUUCAGUAUAUUACAUUAAUGGAAAUCCUAAAAACUGUAAAAUUAUUUCAGAUAUAAAUUAUCGUACUUUUUGCAUUACGGAUGUGCGAGUUUAUUCAUCGAAUAUACUAUUUGUA